Molecule: non-coding RNA, 46 nt
Filed under: Schistosoma mattheei
Lineage: Eukaryota; Metazoa; Platyhelminthes; Trematoda; Strigeidida; Schistosomatidae
Source: RNAcentral
GCACUGCUGAGGAGUCCCACGACGGGACGAAACGGCCGUCCAGUGC